GAGUUUGAUCCUGGCUCAGAUUGAACGCUGGCGGCAGGCCUAACACAUGCAAGUCGAGCGGCAGCGGAAAGUAGCUUGCUACUUUGCCGGCGAGCGGCGGACGGGUGAGUAAUGUCUGGGAAACUGCCUGAUGGAGGGGGAUAACUACUGGAAACGGUAGCUAAUACCGCAUAACGUCGCAAGACCAAAGAGGGGGACCUUCGGGCCUCUUGCCAUCAGAUGUGCCCAGAUGGGAUUAGCUAGUAGGUGGGGUAACGGCUCACCUAGGCGACGAUCCCUAGCUGGUCUGAGAGGAUGACCAGCCACACUGGAACUGAGACACGGUCCAGACUCCUACGGGAGGCAGCAGUGGGGAAUAUUGCACAAUGGGCGCAAGCCUGAUGCAGCCAUGCCGCGUGUAUGAAGAAGGCCUUCGGGUUGUAAAGUACUUUCAGCGGGGAGGAAGGCGAUAAGGUUAAUAACCUUGUCGAUUGACGUUACCCGCAGAAGAAGCACCGGCUAACUCCGUGCCAGCAGCCGCGGUAAUACGGAGGGUGCAAGCGUUAAUCGGAAUUACUGGGCGUAAAGCGCACGCAGGCGGUCUGUCAAGUCGGAUGUGAAAUCCCCGGGCUCAACCUGGGAACUGCAUUCGAAACUGGCAGGCUAGAGUCUUGUAGAGGGGGGUAGAAUUCCAGGUGUAGCGGUGAAAUGC
Molecule: ribosomal RNA, 691 nt
Filed under: uncultured bacterium
Lineage: Bacteria
Description: bacterial SSU rRNA
Rfam family: Bacterial small subunit ribosomal RNA
Source: RNAcentral